GAUGAACGCUGGCGGCGUGCCUAAUACAUGCAAGUCGAGCGAACGGACGAGAAGCUUGCUUGUCUCAUGUUAGCGGCGGACGGGUGAGUAACACGUGUAUAACCUACCUAUAAGACUGGUAUAACUUCGGGAAACCGGAGCUAAUACCGUAUAAUAUCUUGAACCGCAUGGUUCAAAAGUGAAAGACGGUGUUGCUGUCACGUAUAGAUGGAUCCGCGCUGCAUUAGGUAGUUGGUAAGGUCACGGCUUACCAAGGCAACGAUGCAUAGCCGACCUGAGAGGCUGGUAGGCCACACUGGAAGUGAGCCGGCGUCCAGACUACUAAGGGAGGCCGCAGUCGGCAACCUUACGCAGCGGGCGAGAGCAUGACGGAGUAAGGCGACGCGAGUUAUGAAGGUCCUCGGAUCGUGAAACUCUGUUAUUAGGGAAAAACAUCUGUGUAAGUAACUGUGCACAGCUUGACGGUAACUAAUCAGAAAGCAACGGCUAACUACGUG
Molecule: ribosomal RNA, 497 nt
Filed under: uncultured bacterium
Lineage: Bacteria
Description: partial 16S ribosomal RNA
Rfam family: Bacterial small subunit ribosomal RNA
Source: RNAcentral